RNAcentral lists this ribosomal RNA (250 nucleotides) under Calliphora vicina (urban bluebottle blowfly). RNAcentral's name for it is "partial large subunit ribosomal RNA". Lineage: Eukaryota; Metazoa; Arthropoda; Insecta; Diptera; Calliphoridae. The record is from RNAcentral.
GCGAAAUCACCCUAUAAAUCUUUAUAUUUAGAUUAUUAUAAUUUUAUAGAUUUUUUUUGUUGUAAUAAUCAAUGAUAUUUUAUUGGGGUGAUAUUAAAAUUUAAUAAACUUUUAAUUGUUAAAAUCAUUAAUUUAUGAAUAAUUGAUCCGUUAUUAGCGAUUAAAAAAAUAAGUUACUUUAGGGAUAACAGCGUAAUUUUUUUGGAGAGUUCAUAUCGAAAAAAAGAUUGCGACCUCGAUGUUGGAUUAA